This is a small nucleolar RNA of Lathyrus oleraceus (garden pea), 112 nucleotides long. RefSeq annotates it as small nucleolar RNA snoR143. The record is from RefSeq and is a predicted model, not a curated record. NCBI's taxonomy places the organism in Eukaryota, Viridiplantae, Streptophyta, Magnoliopsida, Fabales, Fabaceae. The transcript has a single exon.
UUUCAGAAAUUUGUUGGAUUAGUUGCGAUUGAGCAGCGGCCAGACAACCGUAGGGAUGGAAUCCACAGAUGCUGAGUUUAUCUCAUCAUUCUACUAAUUCCAUCUCACAUUU